Molecule: ribosomal RNA, 482 nt
Filed under: uncultured soil bacterium
Lineage: Bacteria
Description: bacterial SSU rRNA
Rfam family: Bacterial small subunit ribosomal RNA
Source: RNAcentral
AGGACGAACGCUGGCGGCGUGCUUAACACAUGCAAGUCAAGGGGGCCGCAAGGUCAACCGGCGAACGGGUGCGUAACACGUGAGCAACCUGCCUAAGUGUGGGGGAUAGCCGGCCCAACGGCCGGGUAAUACCGCAUACGAUCACUAGCCGGCAUCGGCAUGUGAUGAAACUUUCGAGGCACUUAGAGGGCUCGCGGCCUAUCAGCUUGUUGGUGGGGUAAUGGCCUACCAAGGCAACGACGGGUAGCUGGUCUGAGAGGAUGGCCAGCCACAUUGGGACUGAGAUACGGCCCAGACUCCUACGGGAGCAGCAGUGGGAAUAUUGCGCAAGUGGGCGAAAGCCUGACGCGAGCGACGCCGCGGUGGGGAGUGAAGCAGUUUCGGUGUCGUAAACCCCGUGUUGCGUACGGACGAAAACGUAGUUUAGACUAGUCUGACGGUACGGUGAGGAAGCGACCGGCUAACGUCCGCGCCAGCAGCCG